RNAcentral lists this ribosomal RNA (397 nucleotides) under uncultured bacterium. RNAcentral describes it as "partial 16S ribosomal RNA". It matches the Rfam family "Bacterial small subunit ribosomal RNA", at positions 338 to 732 of the family's 1533-position model. The record is from RNAcentral.
CCUACGGGUGGCAGCAGUGAGGAAUAUUGGUCAAUGGGCGCAAGCCUGAACCAGCCAUGUCGCGUGAAGGAUGACGGCUCUACGGGUUGUAAACUGCUUUUAUAAGGGAAUAAAGGGAGUUACGCGUAUCUGUUUGAAUGUAUCGUAUGAAUAAGGAUCGGCUAACUCCGUGCCAGCAGCCGCGGUAAUACGGAGGGUUCGAGCGUUAUCCGGAUUUAUUGGGUUUAAAGGGUGCGUAGGCGGUCUGUUAAGUCAGAUGUGAAAUUUUGAGGCUCAACCGCGGAAUUGCAGUUGAUACUGGGCGGCUUGAGAGCAGUUGAGGUAGGCGGAAUGUGUGGUGUAGCGGUGAAAUGCUUAGAGAUCACGAAGAACACCGAUUGCGAAGGCAGCUUACUAA